CUGACCUCUGGGGUGGGAGAGAAGCUGGAGGUUGAAUCAAUUACCAAUGGCUGAUGAUUUAAUCAAUCAUGCUUAUGUAAUAAAACCUCCAUAAAAACCCAAAAGGAUGAGAUUGGAAGAGUUUCCAGUUGGUGAACAUGUGGAGAUUUGACAAGUGGAAAUCCCACACAUGGAGAUUUAAGGAGAGUGGUGCUCUCAGAGAGGGCAUGGAAGCUCUGCGCUCCUUUCCAUAUUCCUCACCAUAUGCAUCUCUUCCAUCUGGCUGUUCCUGAGUCAUAUCCUUUUAUAACAAACUGGUAAAUCAAUUCUGGAAGAUUCAGCUCCUCGGAGGCCUCCCGUCUUCUUGGAACAGUCUUCUUUCUACAACCUCACCUCUGAGCAACAGCUUAAGCAUCACUUCCUCCAGGAGAUCGUCCCUGCCGUCUGGAAUAGAGAAGUCCUCUGAUUAUACCUUAGCAGAACCCUCUGGACUUCCCCCGGCAAAAGCUCGUCAGCCAUUACUGUGAUCACUUACCCUGCCCUGUCCUUCUUGCCCGGCUAUACACCCAAUGAGGGCAGGGCGACCUCAGCCCUGCUCCCUGCUGCACCUCCAGGGUCUGGCAGAUGGCCUUGAACGUAAUAGCUGCUCACCAGCCACACAUUGAAUGGAUGAACAUCAUCGUUGUGGUCCCUCAAUGCACUUUGCAUUUACCUUUAACUUUGUAGAGUAUAUAGAUGUUUGUUUUUAAACUGACAAUUGAAAUUUUGCAGAAAGUUAAAUUCAAAUGAUUUUCUAAGGGGGUUAAAAUUGGGAACUCCAGGUUCUUGACUGCCAGGAGUCUUUCUAGGGGGGGCUGGCUGUUUCACGACCUGAGCGGGACCCCUCAUUGUUCUUAGAUUUUCCUUGGUCGUCCAGGGUUCCUGUUCUCCACCCUUGGCCCACGUCUUGCCAUCUUCAGAAACUCUAUAUGGAAGCUCAGGCAGCCCCUUGUAUUGGUUUGAGUUGGCAGCCUUUUGGUCACCAGAUCUUUGCUUGCUAGUUUGGUUUUUUUUUUUAACAUGCGAAUGUUAUAUUUGGUUGAUCUGUGGUUAAACACUUCUUGAAAGUUUCAGACCUCAGCUUCUUGGUGAUCUCAUAAAGUUUCCACAGACUGUGUGUCAUUCACAACCUAAGGAUCUGGAAGGAAGCCCUACUUUAAACUGCAGUUCCCAGGGAUUAAAGCUUGAAAGGUGAUAUGUCUGUUUUCCUAACAUCUCAAAGUCAGUGGAAUGUGCACUGGCAAUAUUUCUAGACCAGACUUCUGCGAACUGGCUCAUUUGUCUAAGAGACACAGUUAAGUCAAAGACACUAAAAUCUCAAGAAGCCUCUUGGCUACUCCAUUUCAGCUAUACAGAUGGCUGCUUUGGAGACUGGCACGUGCAUUAGCUGAGAUAAACCGGCAUAUGUCCUGGAAGAAAAGGAUUGUCCAACUAAUAUUAGAAGCAAAGCUUCUGAGAAUGUCGUUAAGAAUAUCAUAAAUGCUGUAAGUGGUCAGGCCAUUAUUGGUUGAUACAGCUCAACAUCCAUUCAUUCAUUCAACAUGCAUUUCCUGCAUAGGAGCUAUGGGCCAGGCUCUGUGCUAAACCCACAUGAAUAAGACACAAUCUUUGUCCAGUUGGACAGACAAGCAAUUACAGCGCAGUAGUGGAGGUGUUCCACUGGUGGAAGGAGUGACCACUCUUGACCUGGAAGAAUUAGGGGGGCUUCCUAGAAGAGGCUCCAUUUGAACUGGGUCCUGGAGAAUGACUGGUAGCUCACCAGUCUCAGAAGAGAAUGGCAAGGAGACCUCAAGGCAACAGUGUGGCAAAGGUAGAG
This is a long non-coding RNA of Equus caballus (horse), 1834 nucleotides long. The record is from Ensembl. NCBI's taxonomy places the organism in Eukaryota, Metazoa, Chordata, Mammalia, Perissodactyla, Equidae.